UACGUAGGUCCCGAGCGUUGUCCGGAUUUAUUGGGCGCAAAGCGAGCGCAGGUGGUUUAUUAAGUCUGGUGUAAAAGGCAGUGGCUCAACCAUUGUAUGCAUUGGAAACUGGUAGACUUGAGUGCAGGAGAGGAGAGUGGAAUUCCAUGUGUAGCGGUGAAAUGCGUAGAUAUAUGGAGGAACACCGGUGGCGAAAGCGGCUCUCUGGCCUGUAACUGACACUGAGGCUCGAAAGCGUGAGGAGUAAACAGG
This 252-nucleotide ribosomal RNA is filed under the name uncultured bacterium. RNAcentral's name for it is "partial 16S ribosomal RNA". It matches the Rfam family "Bacterial small subunit ribosomal RNA", at positions 524 to 776 of the family's 1533-position model. The record is from RNAcentral.